CUCAAGCGCCAUGGCUAGCGCGCUGGACUUCUAAUCCAAAAGGGGAACUUCUAAUCGUGGGUUCAAAUCCCACCUGUGAUG
Trichonephila clavata is the source of this 81-nucleotide non-coding RNA. Lineage: Eukaryota; Metazoa; Arthropoda; Arachnida; Araneae; Nephilidae. The record is from the annotation of a GenBank genome assembly.